AACAAGCUUGCUUGUUGGGGUUGUAGGACACUCUAUACGGAGUUACAAAGGACGACAUUAGACGAAUCAUCUGGAAAGAUGAAUCAAAGAAGGUAAUAAUCCUGUAGUCGAAAAUGUUGUCUCUCUUGAGUGGAUCCUGAGUACGACGGAGCACGUGAAAUUCCGUCGGAAUCUGGGAGGACCAUCUCCUAAGGCUAAAUACUCUCUAGUGACCGAUAGUGAACCAGUACCGUGAGGGAAAGGUGAAAAGCACCCCGGAAGGGGAGUGAAAUAGAACCUGAAACCGUGUGCUUACAAGUAGUCAGAGCCCGUUAAUGGGUGAUGGCGUGCCUUUUGUAGAAUGAACCGGCGAGUUACGAUUUGAUGCAAGGUUAAGCAGUAAAUGUGGAGCCGUAGCGAAAGCGAGUCUGAAUAGGGCGUUUAGUAUUUGGUCGUAGACCCGAAACCAGGUGAUCUACCCUUGGUCAGGUUGAAGUUCAGGUAACACUGAAUGGAGGACCGAACCGACUUACGUUGAAAAGUGAGCGGAUGAACUGAGGGUAGCGGAGAAAUUCCAAUCGAACCUGGAGAUAGCUGGUUCUCUCCGAAAUAGCUUUAGGGCUAGCCUCAAGUGAUGAUUAUUGGAGGUAGAGCACUGUUUGGACGAGGGGCCCCUCUCGGGUUACCGAAUUCAGACAAACUCCGAAUGCCAAUUAAUUUAACUUGGGAGUCAGAACAUGGGUGAUAAGGUCCGUGUUCGAAAGGGAAACAGCCCAGACCACCAGCUAAGGUCCCAAAAUAUAUGUUAAGUGGAAAAGGAUGUGGCGUUGCCCAGACAACUAGGAUGUUGGCUUAGAAGCAGCCAUCAUUUAAAGAGUGCGUAAUAGCUCACUAGUCGAGUGACACUGCGCCGAAAAUGUACCGGGGCUAAACAUAUUACCGAAGCUGUGGAUUGUCCUUUGGACAAUGGUAGGAGAGCGUUCUAAGGGCGUUGAAGCAUGAUCGCAAGGACAUGUGGAGCGCUUAGAAGUGAGAAUGCCGGUGUGAGUAGCGAAAGACGGGUGAGAAUCCCGUCCACCGAUUGACUAAGGUUUCCAGAGGAAGGCUCGUCCGCUCUGGGUUAGUCGGGUCCUAAGCUGAGGCCGACAGGCGUAGGCGAUGGAUAACAGGUUGAUAUUCCUGUACCACCUAUAAUCGUUUUAAUCGAUGGGGGGACGCAGUAGGAUAGGCGAAGCGUGCGAUUGGAUUGCACGUCUAAGCAGUAAGGCUGAGUAUUAGGCAAAUCCGGUACUCGUUAAGGCUGAGCUGUGAUGGGGAGAAGACAUUGUGUCUUCGAGUCGUUGAUUUCACACUGCCGAGAAAAGCCUCUAGAUAGAAAAUAGGUGCCCGUACCGCAAACCGACACAGGUAGUCAAGAUGAGAAUUCUAAGGUGAGCGAGCGAACUCUCGUUAAGGAACUCGGCAAAAUGACCCCGUAACUUCGGGAGAAGGGGUGCUCUUUAGGGUUAACGCCCAGAAGAGCCGCAGUGAAUAGGCCCAAGCGACUGUUUAUCAAAAACACAGGUCUCUGCUAAACCGUAAGGUGAUGUAUAGGGGCUGACGCCUGCCCGGUGCUGGAAGGUUAAGAGGAGUGGUUAGCUUCUGCGAAGCUACGAAUCGAAGCCCCAGUAAACGGCGGCCGUAACUAUAACGGUCCUAAGGUAGCGAAAUUCCUUGUCGGGUAAGUUCCGACCCGCACGAAAGGCGUAACGAUUUGGGCACUGUCUCAACGAGAGACUCGGUGAAAUCAUAGUACCUGUGAAGAUGCAGGUUACCCGCGACAGGACGGAAAGACCCCGUGGAGCUUUACUGUAGCCUGAUAUUGAAAUUCGGCACAGCUUGUACAGGAUAGGUAGGAGCCUUUGAAACGUGAGCGCUAGCUUACGUGGAGGC
This 1911-nucleotide ribosomal RNA is filed under the name Staphylococcus aureus. Its description in RNAcentral is "partial 23S ribosomal RNA". It matches the Rfam family "Bacterial large subunit ribosomal RNA", at positions 276 to 2187 of the family's 2925-position model. The record is from RNAcentral. Lineage: Bacteria; Bacillati; Bacillota; Bacilli; Caryophanales; Staphylococcaceae.